RNAcentral lists this transfer RNA (76 nucleotides) under Deltaproteobacteria bacterium. RNAcentral describes it as "tRNA-Ala". It matches the Rfam family "tRNA". From Rfam's summary of the family: Transfer RNA (tRNA) molecules are approximately 80 nucleotides in length. Their secondary structure includes four short double-helical elements and three loops (D, anti-codon, and T loops). Further hydrogen bonds mediate the characteristic L-shaped molecular structure. tRNAs have two regions of fundamental functional importance: the anti-codon, which is responsible for specific mRNA codon recognition, and the 3' end, to which the tRNAs corresponding amino acid is attached (by aminoacyl-tRNA synthetases). tRNAs cope with the degeneracy of the genetic code in two manners: having more than one tRNA (with a specific anti-codon) for a particular amino acid; and 'wobble' base-pairing, i.e. permitting non-standard base-pairing at the 3rd anti-codon position. RNAcentral also lists the same sequence under 4 other names. The record is from RNAcentral. Lineage: Bacteria; Pseudomonadati; Myxococcota; Myxococcia.
GGGGAUGUAGCUCAGCUGGGAGAGCGCAGCGUUCGCAACGCUGAAGUCGUGGGUUCGAAUCCCAUCAUCUCCACCA